RNAcentral lists this ribosomal RNA (383 nucleotides) under uncultured eukaryote. Its description in RNAcentral is "partial 18S ribosomal RNA". It matches the Rfam family "Eukaryotic small subunit ribosomal RNA", at positions 592 to 976 of the family's 1831-position model. The record is from RNAcentral.
CAAUAGCGUAUAUUAAAGUUGUUGCGGUUAAAAAGCUCGUAGUUGGAUCUCGGCAGGCAGGGGGUGGUUCGCUCUUAGCGCUACUGCCCCAUUUGCCUGUGUGAUUGGCGGAGGUUUCGGGGUGCUCUUCGUUGAGUGACCCGGGGCGCCGUCAGGUUUACUUUGAAAAAAUUAGAGUGCUCAAAGCAGGCUUUUCACGCUUGAAUAUUCGUGCAUGGAAUAAUGGAAUAGGAACUCGUUUCUAUUUUGUUGGUUUUCGGAAAUCGAGUUAAUGAUUAAUAGGGACAAGUGGGGGCAUUAGUAUUCAGACGACAGAGGUGAAAUUCUUGGACCGUCUGAAGACUAACUACUGCGAAAGCAUUUGCCAAGAGUGUUUUCAUUAA